RNAcentral lists this ribosomal RNA (93 nucleotides) under Bacillus subtilis. RNAcentral also lists the same sequence under 1 other name. Lineage: Bacteria; Bacillati; Bacillota; Bacilli; Caryophanales; Bacillaceae. The record is from RNAcentral.
UUUGGUGGCGAUAGCGAAGAGGUCACACCCGUUCCCAUACCGAACACGGAAGUUAAGCUCUUCAGCGCCGAUGGUAGUCGGGGGUUUCCCCCU